CCUACGGGAGGCUGCAGUGAGGAAUAUUGGUCAAUGGACGAGAGUCUGAACCAGCCAAGUAGCGUGAAGGAUGACUGCCCUAUGGGUUGUAAACUUCUUUUAUAUGGGAAUAAAAUGUUCCACGUGUGGGAUUUUGUAUGUACCAUAUGAAUAAGGAUCGGCUAACUCCGUGCCAGCAGCCGCGGUAAUACGGAGGAUCCGAGCGUUAUCCGGAUUUAUUGGGUUUAAAGGGAGCGUAGGUGGAUUGUUAAGUCAGUUGUGAAAGUUUGCGGCUCAACCGUAAAAUUGCAGUUGAAACUGGCAGUCUUGAGUACAGUAGAGGUGGGCGGAAUUCGUGGUGUAGCGGUGAAAUGCUUAGAUAUCACGAAGAACUCCGAUUGCGAAGGCAGUUCACUGGACUGCAACUGACACUGAGGCUCGAAAGUGUGGGUAUCAAACAGGAUUAGAUAACCUAGUAGUC
This 460-nucleotide ribosomal RNA is filed under the name uncultured bacterium. Its description in RNAcentral is "partial 16S ribosomal RNA". It matches the Rfam family "Bacterial small subunit ribosomal RNA", at positions 338 to 795 of the family's 1533-position model. The record is from RNAcentral.